Non-coding RNA from Canis lupus familiaris (dog), 73 nucleotides. The record is from Rfam. NCBI's taxonomy places the organism in Eukaryota, Metazoa, Chordata, Mammalia, Carnivora, Canidae.
GCCUGCCUGGCUCAGUUGGUGGAGCAUGUGACUCUUGAUCUCAGGAUUAUGAGUUCAAGCACCAUGUUGGGCA